GAUGAACGCUGGCGGCGUGCCUAAUACAUGCAAGUCGAGCGGUAAGGCUCCUUCGGGAGUACACGAGCGGCGGACGGCUGAGUAACGCGUAGGAACGUACCCCAAACUGAGGGAUAACUGCUCGAAAGAGUAGCUAAUACCGCAUGUGCUCUACGGAGUAAAGCUACGGCGGUUUGGGAACGGCCUGCGUACGAUUAGAUUGUUGGUGAGGUAAUGGCUCACCAAGUCGACGAUCGUUAGCUGGUCUGAGAGGAUGAUCAGCCAGACUGGGACUGAGAACGGCCCAGACUCCUACGGGAGGCAGCAGUAGGGAAUUUUCCACAAUGGACGAAAGUCUGAUGGAGCAACGCCGCGUGCAGGAUGAAUGCCUUCGGGUUGUAAACUGCUUUUAUCUGUGACGAAUAUGACGGUAGCAGAUGAAUAAGGAUCGGCUAACUCCGUG
Molecule: ribosomal RNA, 442 nt
Filed under: uncultured bacterium
Lineage: Bacteria
Description: bacterial SSU rRNA
Rfam family: Bacterial small subunit ribosomal RNA
Source: RNAcentral